AUCACCGGAAAUUGUGACGUCGGCAGAAUAAGUCCAAGAGAAUAUUUGACGGGACGAUGACGGUGAUGUUGUAUGUGUAGCGCACUUAAUUCAUAUCGCAAAAAUCAACUAAUCAUUGGUAAUAUUUACCCAAAAAUCGUCAUAUAUACCAAUUUUUCCUAAGAGUGUAUAGUUCAUUGGUCGAAAAUACGGAAUAAUUAAAAAACCAAAUGGUAUCACUGGUAGUCCGCUAAACUGUCAUCUCAAACAAAAACAAAUGGACCAUAUAACUGACUAUGAUGUGAAAACAUCUGGCUUUUCUAUAGCCAUCAAUAGAAACUAGCCGGAAGAUGAUUUCCCCCAUUACCAGUCGCCAAACAACAAGAACAACAGUGCAGAUUUUCACCGUUGUCACAGGAGCCAACAACAUCUGCAAUUCCAAUCAGCAGUAUCCUCCAAACCCAUGCCGGGGACAGCAACAACAGCGGCAACAGCAGAAUCGAAUCCUCGGGCACAAAUGUGUAUCAAGGAAAUAAAAACUAUCAACGCAGGAGGUAUUUAUCAACGAGCUCAGCUGGACUCGAAUCGUCAAUCCGGAAACCCCGGAUUUAAAAAUUUCGCUGUAUUGUGGUUAUUUGUAUAUCACAAACACAUAUUGUUUUGUAAUACGUAUUUUUUCGAGUAAUAAAAUGACUAAAAUUGA
Molecule: long non-coding RNA, 682 nt
Organism: Toxorhynchites rutilus septentrionalis
Lineage: Eukaryota; Metazoa; Arthropoda; Insecta; Diptera; Culicidae
Exons: 2
Source: RefSeq, a predicted model, not a curated record